CACCACCCACUCCAUGUCAGAUGACAUCAGCACACGCUCUAUGAAGGAUGACAUCAUCACCAGAUCCAUAUGUGAUGAUGACACAACCAGCACCAAGUCUGGUGACAUCACUACCCAUCCAGGUCAGAUGAUGUCACCACCCCCUACAUCCCAAGGACAUCAGAGAACACACCUAUGAGGCCCGUGACGUAGCCUUGCUCCUUCAGGAUUUUUGCAAACGUGAUCUCCUCUGCAGGAAGGCCACCAGAGCCUGCGGCCCACUGGAGGACACGGUGGCCAUUACCGGAAGUCAUGCCUGCACCGGAAGGACGAUAAAUCUGGAGAGUGUACACACAGUAGGACAUGGAGCACACAAUAGGAUUCCCCUAGAGCUGCCUCCCACAGCUCCCAGCAUGCCCCUGGUUCUGCCUUUCACAGAGGACCUCAGGAGUCCAGAAUAGAGGGAGGAAGCUACCUCAUCAGUGGCACAUAGUGGGGGGGAGUGACGUCAGCAGUGGGGUCAUACAUGGAUGGAAUCAUAGGUCCGUGGGAGGGACUUAGGAAUGGGGCUUAAUGAGAGGAAGUGACAUCAUUAGAUAUUGGACUAAGUAACAAUCUGUGGCAUUACAGAGGAAGUGAUGUCAACAGUGAAAUCUAGUGGGAGGAAGUGACCUCACCAAGAGGAUCAUCCAUGGAUAUAGUAAUCGGUCAGUAGGGGGAUUUAGGAGCCAGGCCUAGGGGAGGAAGUGACAUCAUCAGUGUGAUCAUCCAUGGAUGUAAUCAUCACUCAGUGGGCUGUGGGUGGGCACUUAGGAGUGGGGCCUAAUGGGGAAGUGACGUCAUCAGUGGGAUUAUCCAAGGCUGGAGUCAUAGGUCAGUGGGAGGGAUUUAGGAAUGGGGCCAGUGGAAGGAACAUGCCUAUCUGGAGGAAGUUGUGUCAUCAGUGAGGUCUAGUGGAAGGAGUGACAUCAUCAGAAGUCCAUGGAGUCAUUGCUCGGUGGGCCAUUGUGGGGGACGUACGGGUGGGACAGAGCAGAGGAAGUGAUAUCAGGGGCAUGUGGGCCCACCCACCUAUGCGGAUGGGGUACCUCCCGGUGAGGAAAGCUGCCCGGCUGGGCGUGCACACAGCUUCAGCCGCCAGGUGCUGAGUGAGUCUCACACCACCUUCUGCAAGUCGGUCGAUGUUCGGGGUCCUGGUGGGGAGGGGCGGGAGCAUGGAUCAUGGAGUGGGGGGGCCAACACACCCUCGUGACACUGGCACACCCACGUGACCCCAAUGUCAGCCUCACUGGGCAAGGUUGGCCUGGUGAGGCUCACUUCACUAUCUGGCCCUAGGCAUCAUGGGAAAUCCUGAACUGACACCCUGGGUGAAUCAGGGUCAAGCACUGGCAUCAUGGGAAGGGCAGAUCCUGAUGCAUUAUGGGUACCAUUGCGAGGAGUAUUUUGGGUCUCCUGGUCGUCUGCCAGGAGCAGGAGGAAGUUGGGUCGAGACUGUGAUGUGUCCAGGCACGUGACAGGGUCCAGGCUGAGGAAGACACCCAGUAGGGCAGCAAGGCAAUUCCUGAAACACAUGUGAUAUGUCAUCCAUCGAUCCUGCUUCUUCUAUCCCUGUCUCUGAGGCAGGGAGCGUGCAUGUCAUCACUGCAGUGCAAGCUGGGUAGCUACAUGUGGGUCCAGGGAUCCAGUGGAGACUUCUGGCCACCAUGGAUGUGUACAGGAUUAAUUUUCAAAUAAUUAUAAACUGUCAAUUAAGUUUCCACAAGGA
This is a long non-coding RNA of Peromyscus eremicus (cactus mouse), 1744 nucleotides long. RefSeq lists it as uncharacterized. The transcript has 2 exons. Lineage: Eukaryota; Metazoa; Chordata; Mammalia; Rodentia; Cricetidae. The record is from RefSeq and is a predicted model, not a curated record.